AGAACUUAAGCGCCAGUAAACGGCGGUGGUAACUAUAACCAUCCUAAGGUAGCGAAAUUCCUUGUCGGGUAAGUUCCGACCUGCACGAAUGGCGUAACGACUUCUCGACUGUCUCAACCAUAGGCCCGGUGAAAUUGCAUUACGGGUAAAGAUGCUCGUUUCGCGCAGCAGGACGGAAAGACCCCGGGACCUUUACUACAGUUUGAUAUUGGUGUUCGGUUCGGCUUGUGUAGGAUAGGUGGGAGACUGUGAAGCAUGCACGCCAGUGUGUGUGGAGUCGUCGUUGAAAUACCACUCUGGUCGUGCUGGAUGUCUAACCUGGGUCCGUGAUCCGGAUCAGGGACAGUGUCUGAUGGGUAGUUUAACUGGGGCGGUUGCCUCCUAAAGAGUAACGGAGGCGCCCAAAGGUUCCCUCAGCCUGGUUGGUAAUCAGGUGUUGAGUGUAAGUGCACAAGGGAGCUUGACUGUGAGACCGACGGGUCGAGCAGGGACGAAAGUCGGGACUAGUGAUCCGGCGGUGGCUUGUGGAAGCGCCGUCGCUCAACGGAUAAAAGGUACCCCGGGGAUAAC
Molecule: ribosomal RNA, 570 nt
Filed under: Streptomyces albidoflavus
Lineage: Bacteria; Bacillati; Actinomycetota; Actinomycetes; Kitasatosporales; Streptomycetaceae
Description: bacterial LSU rRNA
Rfam family: Bacterial large subunit ribosomal RNA
Source: RNAcentral